AGUUUGAUCCUUGGCUCAGGGAGGAACGCUGGGCGCCGUGCCUAACACCAGCCAAUUCGAGCGGGAUUUCUACAACUGAUUCCUUCGGGAUGAAGUUGUAGAUUUUCUAGCGGCGGAUGGGUGAGUUAACGCGUGAGAAACCUGCCUUUCACAAGGGGAUAGCCUCGAGAAAUCGGGAUUAAUACCCUAUGAUACUAUUAAGUCGCAUGACUAAAUAGUUAAAGCGUAAAGCGGUGAAAGAUGGUCUCGCGUCCCAUUAGUUAGUUGGUGAGAUAAAAGCUCACCAAGACUACGAUGGGUAGCCGGCCUGAGAGGGCGACCGGCCACACUGGAACUGAGACACGGUCCAGACUCCUACGGGAGGCAGCAGUGGGGAAUCUUGCACAAUGGAGGAAACUCUGAUGCAGCGACGCCGCGUGAACGAUGAAGGUUUUCGGAUCGUAAAGUUCUGUUAUUAGAGAAGAACAAGUCAAGGAGUAACUGUCUUGACUUUGACGGUACCUAACCAGAAAGUCACGGCUAACUACGUGCCAGCAGCCGCGGUAAUACGUAGGUGACAAGCGUUGUCCGGAAUUAUUGGGCGUAAAGGGAGCGCAGGCGGUUGGAAUAGUCUGAUGUGAAAGCCCACGGCUUAACCGUGGAAGGUCAUUGGAAACUGUCCAACUUGAAUACAGAAGAGGUAAGUGGAAUUCCAAGUGUAGCGGUGAAAUGCGUAGAUAUUUGGAGGAACACCAGUGGCGAAGGCGACUUACUGGUCUGUAAUUGACGCUGAGGCUCGAAAGCGUGGGUAGCAAACAGGAUUAGAUACCCUGGUAGUCCACGCCGUAAACGAUGAGUGCUAAGUGUUAGGGGGUUUCCGCCCCUUAGUGCUGGAGCUAACGCAUAAGCCACUCCGC
This 896-nucleotide ribosomal RNA is filed under the name uncultured bacterium. Its description in RNAcentral is "bacterial SSU rRNA". It matches the Rfam family "Bacterial small subunit ribosomal RNA", at positions 10 to 872 of the family's 1533-position model. The record is from RNAcentral.